CUGGCUUGUUGACGUGACUAAGUUAGCCGUAGUUGGCUAGCUAGCGAUAAGAACGUUGCCAGCCAGUACGGCAAUGGAACAUUUAGACCGAACGACUGGGUCGCGUCCAUAGAUACAGAACAAAUAGACUGAACGACUGGGUCGCGUCCAUAGAUACAGAACAAAUAGACUGAACGACUGGGUCCAUAGAUACAGAACAAAUAGACUGAACGACUGGGUCGCGUCCAUAGAUACAGAACAAAUAGACUGAACGACUGGGUCGCGUCCAUAGAUACAGAACAAAUAGACUGAACGACUGGGUCGCGUCCAUAGAUACAGAACAAAUAGACUGAACGACUGGGUCGCGUCCAUAGAUACAGAACAAAUAGACUGAACGACUGGGUCCAUAGAUACAGAACAAAUAGACUGAACGACUGGGUCGAGUCCCUGGCAACCCAACCGAUUUAAUGAACGACCAGCCUGCUUUGGUAGCAACCCUAGAUUUGUGUUGGGACUAUAUCUCGUGGAAGGUUGAAAUAGUAUGAAUAAAUUAAUAAAAAUAGCGUUUUUAAUGAAAAUAUGUCAAUCAUUAUUUGAAUGUGCUGGUAACCCGCUGUUUAAAAGUGAUAAUGCCCUGGAAGCCAAUAUAACUUUUAAAUAGGAAAUGACUGUAGGAGUCUAGCAGGAAGUUCACUAGUUAUCUCUGUGAGUCACAGUUAGAGGAGACAACGCAUGUCUCUUUAUGACCUCACUACUAUGGCCUGCAACACACUGCUAUACACUACUAUAUACUACUAUAUACUACUAUAUACUACACACUACUAUAUACUACUAUAUACUACUAUAUACUACUAUAUACUACUAUACAACACACUGCUAUAUACUACUAUAUACUACUAUAUACUACUAUACAACUACUAUAUACUACUACACACUACUAUAUACUGCUACACACUACUAUAUACUACUAUAUACUACUAUAUACUGCUAUAUACUACUAUAUACAACUACUAUACACUACUACACACUACUACACACUACAACAUACUACUCUGCUAUAUACUACUACACACUGCUAUAUACUACUUCACACUACUACACACUGCUAUACACUGCUACUACACACUACUACACGCUACUACACUGCUACUACACACUGCUACUACACACUGCUACUACACACUGCUACAGACUACAUUUACAUUUGAGUCAUUUAGCAGACGCUCUAAUCCAGAGCGAUUAACAGUAGUGAAUGCAUACAUUUCAUAAAUUUUUUUCCCCGUACUGGUCCCCCGUGGGAAUCGAAUCCACAACCCUGGCGUUGCAAACACCAUGCUCUACCAACUGAGCUACAGGGAAGACUCUUACUACACACUGCUAUACACUACUACACACUACAAUACACUACUAUACACUGCUAUGGCCUACUACACACUACUACACACUACUAUACACUACUAUACACUACUACACACUACUACACACCACUACACACUACUAUACACUACUAUGGCCUACUACACACUACUACACACUACUAUACACUACUACACACUACUAUACACUACUAUGGCCUACUACAUACUACUACACACUACUAUAUGCUACUACACACUGCUACACACUACUACACACUACAAUACACUACUAUACACUACAAUACACUAAUAUACACUACUAUACACUACUAUACACUACUAUACACUACUAUAUACUACUACACACUACUACACACUACUACACACUACAAUACACUACUAUACACUACUACACUACACUACUAUACACUACUAUAUACUACUACACACUGCUAUAUACUACUAUACACUACUAUACACUGCUAUAUACUACUACACACUACUAUACACUACUAUACACUGCUAUAUACUACUACACACUACUAUGGCCUACUACACAGUACUACACACUACUACACACUACUAUGGCCUACUACACAGUACUACACACUACUAUGGACUACUAAACACUACUACACACUACUAAACACUACUAUACACUGCUACACACUACUAAACACUACUAUACACUGCUACACACUACUACACACUACUACACACUACUACACACUACUAAACACUACUACACACUACUACACACUACUAUGGCCUACUACACACUACUACACACUACUACACACUACUAUGGCCUACUAAACACUACUACACACUGCUAUACAUUUCUACACACUACUGAACAUUUCUACACACUACUACACACUACUAUACACUACUACACACUACUACACACUACUAUGGCCUACUAAACACUACUAAACACUACUACACACUACUAUACACUACUACACACUACUGAACAUUUCUACACACUACUACACACUACUACACACUACUAUGGCCUACUAUACACUACUACACACUACUAUGGCCUACUAUACACUACUAUACACUACUACACACUACUAUGGCCUACUAAACACUACUACACACUACUACACACUACCACACACUACUACACACUACUAUACACUACUACACACUACUAUACACUACUAUACACUACUGAACAUUUCUACACACUACUACACACUACUACACACUACUACACACUACUAAACACUACUGAACAUUUCUACACACUACCACACAUUACUACACACUACUACACACUACUACACACUGCUACACACUACUAUACACGGCUACACACUACUACACACUACUACACCAUGGCGGACUUGGUGGUGUGAUUAUUAGUGGACAUUGGUACCACUGAACAGUGGCUGGUAAAACAAUAUCUCCCUUCUAAAGAGGUCUUUAAUCAACAUGACUUCAUGGAUAAAUAAAGGUUAAAUAAAGGUUAAACACGGAUAAAUAAAGGUUAUAUACAAAUAGAACCAAAUCGCUAAUGUGAUGCUAACGAUCUUCAUGUUUCUAUCAUGUUUAUAUCACGCUGAACAGGUACCUGUUUAUUUGUAGUGCUGUAUAGUCCAGAUGACUGUGGUGUGGAAGUGAAGGUUCAGGAUGACAUCACUACGGUACAAGUCUGGAAUAUCAGAAUGAAAAGAGGUUGUGCAUUCCAAAUGGCACCCUAUUUUCUUAUUUAGUGCACUGCCCUUGGUCAAAUGUAGUGCACUAUAUGUGGCAAAAGUGUUCCAUUUGGGACAUACCCAAACAUGAGCAGAUAGGUAUCGACUUCAUCUCGCUGUCCGUCUGCCAAACUGUGUUUGUUGUCUUCAUGGGAAAUUAACUGUAAGUUGUAUCUCUCAGAAAGAGAAAUGGCUUGUAUCAUAUAUCAUAGCUGUAGCCAAUGUCUGAUUUGGCACUGUAAGUAGCUGAUAUAAAUGCUUGGAAAAGUGGCCAAGAUUAUUCUUUAGAAGGUAGUUUGAGCUCUGAGGUCAUGGGGCCCUGUACUGUGGAGAUGGGCAGGUAGUUGGACAUGCAUCAUACGCCCUGUACUGUGGAGACUGGUAGGUAGAUGGACAUGCAUCAUACGCCCUGUACUGGGCAGGUAGUUGGACAUGCAUCAUACGCCCUGUACUGGGCAGGUAGUUGGAUAUGCAUCAUACGCCCUGUACUGUGGAGAUGGGCAGGUAGUUGGACAUGCAUCAUACGCCCUGUACUGUGGAGAUGGGCAGGUAGUUGGACAUGCAUCAUAUGCCCUGUACUGUGGAGAUGGGCAGGUAGUUGGACAUGCAUCAUACGCCCUGUACUGUGGAGAUGGGCAGGUAGUUGGACAUGCAUCAUACGCCCUGUACUGGGCAGGUAGUUGGACAUGCAUCAUACGCCCUGUACUGUGGAGAUGGGCAGGUAGUUGGACAUGCAUCAUACGCCCUGUACUGUGGAGAUGGGCAGGUAGUUGGACAUGCAUCAUACGCCCUGUACUGUGCAGAUGGGCAGGUAGUUGGACAUGCAUCAACUAAGCACAAACUGUACACAGUACUGAAGCUGCUAUAUCAUGAUGAAGCCAGGAUGUUUGCUUAGGGAGAGCGUGCAGGUGUACAUUGUAGCUGUGUGUGUGUGUGUGUGUGUGUGUGUGUGUGUGUGUGUGUGUGUGUGUGUGUGUGUGUGUGUGUGUGUGUGUGUGUGUGUGUGUGUGUGUGUGUGUGUGUGUGUGUGUGUGUGUGUGUGUGUCUGGUUUGUCUCUCCUCUAUCCAGUCCCUGGUUUGUCUCUCCUCUAUCCAGUCCCUGGUUUGGCUCUCCUCUGUCCAGUCUGGUUUGGCUCUCCUCUGUCCAGUCUGGUUUGGCUCUCCUCUGUCCAGUCUGGUUUGGCUCUCCUCUGUCCAGUCUGUUUUGGCUCUCCUCUGUCCAGUCUGGUUUGGCUCUCCUCUGUCCAGUCUCCUCUAUCCAGUCUGGUUUGGCUCUCCUCUGUCCAGUCUGGUUUGGCUCUCCUCUGUCCUUCCAUCUCCAGUUUCAACAGGCGUUGUAUCUUAAUACGGUGUUUAGUUAUUUACCCAUGUCUUCAAGUAGAUCUGUCUGUUUGACAGUCCAGGCUGUUAUUGCUGGGAAUGCCUUUCCUCUUGACCUCUCCUCCUCUGGCUGUGUGACUUCCUAGAAAACACAAGUAGCUCUGUGUGACUUCCUAGAAAACACAAGCAGCUGAAUCACAUCCUAUUUGCUGGAGCGUAAAUCAUAGUCCACAGAUGAUAGUCCAGCGUCCCGUUGCUACGCGGCUCUGAGACCACCAUCCACGGGGGGAUGCUCAGCCCGAAUGUGCACCUCCCCACAAUUCCCAACUCUUGUUACGUCUCCUCUAUUCAUUUGACUGUGUUGACAGACAGUUGGAGAAAUUGCUUGAGCUCCGUUGAGAAUUGGAAAAGUAUGAAAGCAACGUACCAAUAUUGUAGAACACUGCUUUUUGUACGCGUACAGGUUUUGGACUCUGAUAAAACACAUUACAGAACCAGUUCUAUCACGUCCAUAUUAGUAGAUGCAAUAUGCUUGCCUUGCAGUGAGGGGAGCAAAAUGGACUCUUAUGCUGUCAUGUUCUCCAUAGCAGCUCAUUAUAAAAUAUGACCAGUCGAUGUUAAAUAAGACUGUACAGAAACUGACCAUAAUUGAUGUCUAAUAAUCACUCAAACUCCCUUCAGGUCACUCAGUUCCACCCAGUGCUGUGUCUUUAAAAGUCUUUCAGUUGUUUUCAUGGCCCAGAACAUCUCUUUAAUCAAGUUGUUUUCAUGGCCCAGAACAUCUCUUUAAUCAAGUUGUUUUCAUGGCCCAGAACAUCUCUUUCAUGAAGUUGUUUUCAUGGCCCAGAACAUCUCUUUAAUCAAGUUGUUUUUAUGGCCCAGAACAUCUCUUUCAUGAAGUUGUUUUCAUGGCCCAGAACAUCUCUUUAAUGAAGUUGUUUUCAUGGCCCAGAACAUCUCUUUAAUGAAGUUGUUUUCAUGGCCCAGAACAUCUCUUUAAUGAAGUUGUUUUCAUGGCCCAGAACAUCUCUUUAAUCAAGUUGUUUUCAUGGCCCAGAACAUCUCUUUAAUCAAGUUGUUUUCAUGGCCCAGAACAUCUCUUUAAUGAAGUUGUUUUCAUGGCCCAGAACAUCUCUUUCAUGAAGUUGUUUUCAUGGCCCAGAACAUCUCUUUCAUGAAGUUGUUUUCGUGGCCCAGAACAUCUCUUUAAUCAAGUUGUUUUCAUGGCCCAGAACAUCUCUUUAAUGAAGUUGUAGGAUCCAGUUUAGGAUCCAGGGAGGUUAAUACUCAAUACAAUGGCCCAGGGCAGUGUUGGUCUAUGUACUUCAUACUACGACCCAGUAACUGGCUACCUGCUGUAUUCCACAUAGUAACACUAGCCAGGUACCCUCAGCUCUGAAACGCCAUGCUUCACUAGAUUUACCACAUAGUAACACUAGCCAGGUGCCCUCAGCUCUGAAACGCCAUGCUUCACUAGAUUUACCACAUAGUAACACUAGCCAGGUACCCUCAGCUCUGAAACACCAUGCUUCUCUGGAUAGAGCUACUCUGUCCUAAAUACAUACUAUAUUACUUGUUUUUCCUGAGGAGAGUACAUGGGGGGGAAAAAAACUUAUGUUGUUCUCUCUCUUUAGCUCUCACGCUGUAUCUCUCUCUCUCUCCCCGUAUGUGUGAGUCUUAUCCAACAGAGAGAUAAAAAGCCUUGAUUGGAUCAAAGAGAACGCUCUCUGGGAGUUCCAGACAGCUGAAUUCCUCCUAGAUCACAGACGCAGGUGUCUGCAAGGCAACAAGCAGCACCUUUGGGAGCAGGGAGAGUCUAGGGAGAACACUGGCAAUGAGGACUAGGAAGAUCAAAUCAAAUUGUAUUUGUCACAAGCAACAGGUGUAGACUUUUCAGUGAAACGCUUACUUACGAACCUAUUCCAAACAUCAACAAAAAACAACACACACAUAUUUGCUAAAUAUUAAAGAAAUAGUAACACAAUAAUAACAAUAAUGAGGCUAUAUGCAGGGAGUACUAUUACUGAGUCAAUGUGCAGGAAUACCAGGUAGUAGCAUGGCUAUAUACAGGGAGUACUAUUACUGAGUCAAUGUGCAGGAAUACCAGGUAGUAGCAUGGCUAUAUACAGGGAGUACUAUUACUGAGUCAAUGUGCAGGAAUACCAGGUAGUAGCAUGGCUAUAUACAGGGAGUACUAUUACUGAGUCAAUGUGCAGGAAUACCAGGUAGUAGCAUGGCUAUAUACAGGGAGUACUAUUACUGAGUCAAUGUGCAGGAAUACCAGGUAGUAGCAUGGCUAUAUACAGGGAGUACUGAGUCAAUGUGCAGGAAUACCAGGUAGUAACAUGGCUAUAUACAGGGAGUACUGAGUCAAUGUGCAGGAAUACCAGGUAGUAACAUGGCUAUAUACAGGGAGUACUGAGUCAAUGUGCAGGAAUACCAGGUAGUAACAUGGCUAUAUACAGGGAGUACUGAGUCAAUGUACAGGGGUACCAGGUAUUUGAGGUAGUUGAGGUAAUACAGUAUGAACAUGUGGGUAUGGGUAAAAGUGACUAGUCAAUCGAGAUAUACACUACAUGGCCAAAAGUAUGUGGACACCUGCUCGUCAAACAUCUCACUCUAAAAUCAUGGGCAUUAAUAUGGAGUUGGUCCCCCCUUUGCUGCUAUAACAGCCUCCACUCUUCUGGGAAGGCUUUCCACUAGAUGUUGGAACAUUGCUGCUAUAACAGCCUCCACUCUUCUGGGAAGGCUUUCCACUAGAUGUUGGAACAUUGCUGCUAUAACAGCCUCCACUCUUCUGGGAAGGCUUUCCACUAGAUGUUGGAACAUUGCUGCUAUAACAGCCUCUACUCUUCUGGGAAGGCUUUCCACUAGAUGUUGGAACAUUGCUGCGGGGACUUGCUUCUAUUCAGCCACAAGAGCAUUAGUGAGGUUGGGCACUGUUGGUUGAUUAGGCCUGGCUCUCAGUCGGCGUUGCAAUUCAACCCAGAGGUGUUCGAUGGGGUUGAGGUCAGGGCUCUGUGCAGGCCAGUCAAGUUCUUCCACACCAAUCUCGACAAACCAUUUCUGUAUGGACCUCGUUUUGUGCACGGGUGCAUUGUCAAGCUGAAACAGGAAAUGGCCUUCCCCGAACUGUUGCCACAAAGUUGGAAGCACAGAAUCGUCUAGAAUGUCAUUGUAUGCUGUAGCGUUAAGAUUUCCCUUCACUGGAACUAAGGAGCCUAGCCCGAACCAUGAAAAACAUGGUCCAAUGGCGGCGACCUUUACACCACUCCAGCCGAUGCUUGGCUUUACGCAUGUUGAUCUUUGGGUUGUGUGCAGCUUCUCGGCCAUGGAAAACCUGUUUCAUGAAGCUCUUGCCGAACAGUUUUUGUGCUGACGUUGCUUCCAGAGGCUACACGCUUCAGUACUCUGCUGUCCCGUUCUGUGACCUGGUGUGACCUACCACUUCAGCAAUCAAUCAAAUGUAUUUAUAAAGCCCUUCUUACAUCAGCUGAUGUCACAAAAUGCUGUACAGAAACCCCAAACAGCAAGCAAUGCAGGUGUAGAAGCACGGUGGCUAGGAAAAACUCCCUAGAAAGGCUAAAACCUAGGAAGAAACCUAGAGAGGAACCAGGCUAUGAGGGGUGGCCAGUCCUCUUCUGGCUGUGCCGGGUGGAGAUUAUAACAGCACAUGGCCUAGAUGUUCAAAUGUUCAUAAAUGACCAGCAGGGUCAGAUAAUAAUAAUCACAGUGGAUGUCGAGGGUGCAACAGGUCAGCACCUCAGGAGUAAAUGUCAGUUGGCUUUUCAGUUUUUCCACUUCAGUACUCUGCGGACCCGUUCUGUAAGCUGGUGUGACCUACCACUUUGCGGCUGAGCCGUUGUUACUUCUAGACAUUUCCACUUCACAAUAAUAGCAUUUACAGUUGACUGUGGCAGUUCUAGCAGGACAGAAAUUUGAUGAACUGACUUGUUGGCAAGGUGGCAUCCUAUGACGGUGCUGAGCUCUUACAGUAUUUUACAAUCACUUUGGCACUAAUUUCGGAAACCUUGAUGUCAUUUUUCAAAACUCUAGACACAAAACUCACAACCAAUGAUUAAAAUGCACAUUUUUCAAAACUCUUAACACUUUUUCCAAUUGCUUGGAUACAACACACAUAAAGCUAAGAUCAUUUAUUCAUUGAUCUAAAAAAAAAUCACCUGUUCAAAAUGACACAACUUAACAUCAAAGUAUUACGAUUUGUUCUGCUUUUUACAGCCAGGUGAGGAACACUGCAGUUGACGUUUUACUGUCGUUCUUUUCUUUUUUGUAGCUAAUUAUUUUUGCUUCGAUUCAAAGAAACCCAUGUUGUGAUUUUAUUGUAUUUCAUCAAUAAAUGUCAUAUUUUGUUCAGUGAUUCCACUGUGUCUGUAGUAUUUCUCUCUACUAGUCCCUUUACAGUGAUGUAUUUACGUGUAGUACCAUAUUGAAACAUGUAUCACAUAUUUUAUACUACAUUAUUUAAUGAUUGUACGAACAACUACACAGUGAAACUAUCGGUAUUUUGUGUGUGGGUGAUCUAAAUGAAUGUUCCUAUGGUAUUUCAUGAUUAAUUAGUUAUUUGAACCAAUGAUUCUGCAAGUGCAAGGUUUAUUUAAAGAUAUGAAUCCACAAUGCAAUGUUUUGAACAUUGGACAGCCUGUGUUACAAGCGAUGACCGUUUUGAAAAAUGACCACAAGGUUCUGAAAUUAGUGCCAAAGCGAUUGUAAAAAACUGUAAGUAAGGCCAUUCUACUGCCAAUGUUUGUCUAUGGAGAUUGCAUGGCGGGGUUCUCGACUUUAUACACCUGUCAGCAAAGGGUGUGGCUGAAAUAGUCAAAUCCCCUAAUUUGGCCAUGUAGUGUAUAACAAGCGUGUUUGUGUGUGUGUGUGUGUGUGUGUGUGUGUGUGUGUGUGUGUGUGUGUGUGUGUGUGUGUGUGUGUGUGUGUGUGUGUGUGUGUGUGUGUGUGUGUGUGUGUGUGUGUGUGUGUGUGUGUGUGUGUGCGUGGAGUCAGUGUAAAAAAAUAUAUAUAUAAACUUGGGGAUAGAAGCUGUUCAGCAGUCUGAUGGCUUGGGGGUAGAAGCUGUUCAGCAGUCUGAUGGCUUGGGGGUAGAAGCUGUUCAGCAGUCUGAUGGCUUGGGGGUAGAAGCUGUUCAGCAGUCUGAUGGCUUGGGGGUAGAAGCUGUUCAUCGGUCUGAUGGCUUGGGGGUAGAAGCUGUUCAGCAGUCUGAUGGCUUGGGGGUAGAAGCUGUUCAGCAGUCUGAUGGCUUGGGGGUAGAAGCUGUUCAGCAGUCUGAUGGCUUGGGGGUAGAAGCUGUUCAGCAGUCUGAUGGCUUGGGGGUAGAAGCUGUUCAGCAGUCUGAUGGCUUGGGGGUAGAAGCUGUUCAGCAGACUGGUGGCUUGGGGGUAGAAGCUGUUCGGGAGCCUUUUGGUCCCACAUUUGGCACUCUGGUACCGUUCGUUGUGCAGUAGCAAAAUAACUGUCUAUAGCUUAGGUGGCUGGAGUCUGACACCGCCUGAUAUAGAGGUCCCAGUGAUGUACUGGGCCAUAUUCACUACCUUCUGUAGAAGAGCCAAGGACUCACAUUAUACUGUAGUCCUCAGAGAGAGAGAGAGAGAGAGAGAGAGAGAGACCUCUUCUGUUCUGUUCUGUUUGGGGGACGAGCUGUGUCAGUCUGCCCGCCUGAUGUUAAAGUGCUUAAGGCAGUAGGUCUAUGACUGCUACAUGUUAGGACGGCAGUAAUGUAGUCUAGACAGUCUUCUGGUAGGUCUAUGACUGCUACAUGUUAGGACGGCAGGAAUGUAGUCUAGACAGUCUUCUGGUAGGUCUAUGACUGCUACAUGUUAGGACGGCAGGAAUGUAGUCUAGACAGUCUUCUGGUAGGUCUACGACUGCUACAUGUUAGGACGGCAGUAAUGUAGUCUAGACAGUCUUCUGGUAGGUCUAUGACUGCUACAUGUUAGGACGGCAGGAAUGUAGUCUAGACAGUCUUCCGGUAGGUCUAUGACUGCUACAUGUUAGGACGGCAGUAAUGUAGUCUAGACAGUCUUCCGGUAGGUCUAUGACUGCUACAUGUUAGGACGGCAGUAAUGUAGUCUAGACAGUCUUCUGGUAGGUCUAUGACUGCUACAUGCAGUCUUCUGGUAGGUCUAUGACGCUACAUGUUAGGACGGCAGUAAUGUAGUCUAGACAGUCUUCCGGUAGGUCUAUGACUGCUACAUGCAGUCUUCUGGUAGGUCUAUGACUGCUACAUGUUAGGACAGCAGUAAUGUAGUCUAGACAGUCUUCUGGUAGGUCUAUGACUGCUACAUGUUAGGACGGCAGUAAUGUAGUCCAGACAGUCUUCUGGUAGGUCUAUGACUGCUACAUGUUAGGACAGCAGUAAUGUAGUCCAGACAGUCUUCCGGUAGGUCUAUGACUGCUACAUGUUAGGACAGCAGUAAUGUAGUCCAGACAGUCUUCCGGUAGGCGUGUAAAUUGCUCAUGCGUGUAAAUGACAUGUCGUCACUGUGGUACUGUGUUCUAGUCUAGUUAGAGAGCGUCUUGCUUUGUAAUGUUUUAUAAUGAUCUCC
RNAcentral lists this long non-coding RNA (10941 nucleotides) under Salmo salar (Atlantic salmon). RNAcentral describes it as "lncRNA (ENSSSAG00000105084.1, ENSSSAG00000115831.1)". Lineage: Eukaryota; Metazoa; Chordata; Actinopteri; Salmoniformes; Salmonidae. The record is from RNAcentral.